UCAAAACUUUCAACAACGGAUCUCUUGGUUCUGGCAUCGAUGAAGAACGCAGCGAAAUGCGAUAAGUAAUGUGAAUUGCAGAAUUCAGUGAAUCAUCGAAUCUUUGAACGCACAUUGCGCCCUCUGGUAUUCCAGAAGGCAUGCCUGUUCGAGCGUCAUU
Molecule: ribosomal RNA, 160 nt
Filed under: Cytospora myrtagena
Lineage: Eukaryota; Fungi; Ascomycota; Sordariomycetes; Diaporthales; Cytosporaceae
Description: 5.8S ribosomal RNA
Rfam family: 5.8S ribosomal RNA
About the family: 5.8S ribosomal RNA (5.8S rRNA) is a component of the large subunit of the eukaryotic ribosome.
Source: RNAcentral